Molecule: ribosomal RNA, 578 nt
Filed under: Petrotoga sp. 75010
Lineage: Bacteria; Thermotogati; Thermotogota; Thermotogae; Petrotogales; Petrotogaceae
Description: bacterial SSU rRNA
Rfam family: Bacterial small subunit ribosomal RNA
Source: RNAcentral
CGGGGGCACGGGGGGCCUACGGGAGGCAGCAGUGGGGAAUAUUGGACAAUGGGCGGAAGCCUGAUCCAGCGACGCCGCGUGAAGGAAGGAGUCCCUCGGGAUGUAAACUUCUGAACUAGUCGAAUAAAGGGGUAGCGGACACGCUACAAGAGAAGGUAGGCUAGGAAAAGUCCCGGCUAACUACGUGCCAGCAGCCGCGGUAAGACGUAGGGGGCGAGCGUUGCCCGGAAUCACUGGGUGUAAAGGGGUUGUAGGCGGUAUACCAAGUCNCAUGUGAAAACCUUUUGCUCAACGAAAGGCUUGCGUGUGAAACUGGUAUACUUGAGCGUAGCAGAGGUAGACGGAAUUACCUGAGUAGGGGUGAAAUCCGCAGAUACAGGUAAGAACGCCGGUGGAGAAGUCGGUCUACUGGGCUACAGCUAACGCUGAGGACCGAAAGCCAGGGGAGCGAACCGGAUUAGAUACCCGGGUAGUCCUGGCAGUAAACGAUGCUCACUAGGUGUAGGGAGCGAAAGACUCUCUGUGCUGAAGCGAACGCGAUAAGUGAGCCACCUGGGGAGUACGUCCGCAAGGAUGAA